GGGAGCCGCCGCCGGCCUCCCCGCGGCAGCCACUCGGGGUGGAGGCUGCGCGCCUGCGCCUCCGCUGCUGCCUCCAGCGGGAGGCCGCGCCGGGCUCCGCCGCUCGGGGGGCGCCGAGGCUGUGGCAGCAUGCUGCUGUGCCACACGUUAGUAUGAGCUGCACAAUAAGCAGAAGUAAAACCUCCACAUCCUGCAGGUCAUUUAAAUUGGAUUCUGUAUGAAGAGUCAUCUGCAAGAAGCCCAAGAUGAUGCAUCUCUCCAUUUACACCUGCAGAAAUGCACAAGAGACUUAUAACUAAGACAUAGACUGAAGAAAGUUAAUAAGACUGUUAGUAGUCUGUAUCACUAAUGAAAAGGCUAUGGAUGAUUCUAGUCUUUUCCUUCAAGCCUUGAUGAAACCUGGAAAUGUCAGAAAGUUGAUUUUUCUGCAGGACCAGCAGCUAUAAGUAAAAAAGAGGAGAAAAAUUGAGGAAAAAAAUAGAGAAAGCCACUGACAAGAACUGCUACUGGUUGUGACUAAUCCGUUCUAAGCUUACAUUUGCUUGCAUCUUAAUGGAUCUUUUAACCUAAUUUACUGAGUCUAUUUCUUUUUAAUUAACUUUCAUAAAAGUUCAGGUAUUUUUUCAUGAAGUACACGAAGAUCAGCUAGGAAAGCUAUUAUCAUCUACAGUAGCAAUACAGCAAUGUGGAAUUCAGUUUUUUUGAUUAAAAAUAGAUGCAUAAAUCAUAAGAAGUAAACCUGAAGUAUCUCACACCCUUUUACCCUGUCCUCACUUUUCAGUGACAGUUAAAGAAUGAUAUAAAGAAUUCCUUUUUGUGUUUGCCUGUUCGACAUGACCAGUGCAAAUAAAUCACAUAGGCUUAGGAAGACAGGCAAUUAUCUGUCAGCAGGCUCAUUCAUUUCUAGUCUGUAGGUGGAUGUAGUUUCAAACAGAAAGAAGGUGGCUUUCCAAAAAUCCACGUGGACCUGUUAAUUGCGAAAGAAGGGUGUAGAAUGCCCCGUGUAAAAUGAGUGUGCUACAUUUCAAUAAAAAAUGUGAUUUCUGUAUCAGAAAUGCUAUCCACGUGCAAGUUGAAUUAUGCAGCAUAUUACUUCUCAAGAUGGCUGUACCUCUUGAUCAAUCAGGUCAAGAGUUAUGUAAGGCCUUACCUGCAUUACGUAAAGCACACCUCAAGUGGGAACGAUGCUGCAGGAAUAUUUACGUUUUCAAAGCAUUCUGCAUUUUCAAUGACAGUUGAACAAAGCAUCCCUUAAAAACAGAAGGAAAACAAUGAUAUUUCGUUAAAUUAAUGAACCUGUUCAAAAGUAUGGAACAAACAUCUAGCAAAUUAUAAUGAUCAUAGGACUUGCAACAGUAGGUGGUGGGGAAAAAAAGACUACUGCUAUCCUAUUUUGGAAAUUACUAUGACAGGGUACUAGGUUCCAUUCCAUUUAAAGAUUUCUUCAUGCAAAUUGUAUGAGGCAUUUUCUAAAAACAGUGGAUUUCCAUAAUGGAAUUUUGGCAAAUUAAAUCAAAACAGGUUGCUAUGACAGUUCCUACAAAUAUUUCUAUUUUAGCUUUAUUUUGUAUUAUAAAUAUGUCAAGAUGAAGUCAUUCUUGUCAAAACAAAGUUAUAUUUCCUUUUGGGAAAAAUUUCCAGGCCUUUUCUCAAUGCUCUAAUUUUCCAUAUUCAUCAAAGUCAAGAUGAGGGCUAAUUUCAAAUGCUUUAACAUACAUCUGCAUAAUCAUAAACCCACAUAAACAUAGCUUUAGUCUUAUAAAUGAGUGAUGUCAUUACAUACAGUAUUGUUAGCUUAACUGACUUUCCUUACUGCUCUGUAUAACAAGAGACUGAAAAAUAAAAGAUAUUUAACG
Molecule: long non-coding RNA, 1856 nt
Organism: Cygnus olor (mute swan)
Lineage: Eukaryota; Metazoa; Chordata; Aves; Anseriformes; Anatidae
Exons: 3
Source: RefSeq, a predicted model, not a curated record